Molecule: ribosomal RNA, 253 nt
Filed under: uncultured bacterium
Lineage: Bacteria
Description: partial 16S ribosomal RNA
Rfam family: Bacterial small subunit ribosomal RNA
Source: RNAcentral
GACAGAGGGUGCAAACGUUGUUCGGAAUUACUGGGCGUAAAGCGAGUGUAGGCGGUCUCGUAAGUCGGGUGUGAAAGCCCCGGGCUCAACCCGGGAACUGCAUUCGAGACUGCAUUGCUAGAGUAUGGGAGAGGGAAGUGGAAUUUCCGGUGUAGCGGUGAAAUGCGUAGAUAUCGGAAGGAACAUCAGUGGCGAAAGCGACUUCCUGGACCAGUAUUGACGCUGAGGCGCGAAAGCCAGGGGAGCAAACGGG